GAUGAACGCUGGCGGCGUGCCUAAUACAUGCAAGUCGAGCGAACAGACGAGAAGCUUGCUUCUCUGAUGUUAGCGGCGGACGGGUGAGUAACACGUGGAUAACCUACCUAUAAGACUGGGAUAACUUCGGGAAACCGGAGCUAAUACCGGAUGAUAUUUUGAACCGCAUGGUUCAAAAGUGAAAGACGGUCUUGCUGUCACUUAUAGAUGGAUCCGCGCUGCAUUAGCUAGUUGGUAAGGUAACGGCUUACCAAGGCAACGAUGCAUAGCCGACCUGAGAGGGUGAUCGGCCACACUGGAACUGAGACACGGUCCAGACUCCUACGGGAGGCAGCAGUAGGGAAUCUUCCGCAAUGGGCGAAGGCCUGACGGAGCAACGCCGCGUGAGUGAUGAAGGUCUUCGGAUCGUAAAACUCUGUUAUUAGGGAAGAACAUAUGUGUAAGUAACUGUGCACAUCUUGACGGUACCUAAUCAGAAAGCCACGGCUAACUACGUG
RNAcentral lists this ribosomal RNA (497 nucleotides) under uncultured bacterium. Its description in RNAcentral is "partial 16S ribosomal RNA". It matches the Rfam family "Bacterial small subunit ribosomal RNA", at positions 28 to 507 of the family's 1533-position model. The record is from RNAcentral.